UACGGGGGGAGCAAGCGUUGUUCGGAUUUACUGGGCGUAAAGGGCGCGUAGGCGGCCACCGCAAGUCAGUUGUGAAAUCUCCGAGCUUAACUCGGAAAGGUCAACUGAUACUGCGGGGCUAGAGUGCGGAAGGGGCAACUGGAAUUCUUGGUGUAGCGGUGAAAUGCGCAGAUAUUGGGAGGAACACCAGCGGCGAAGACGGCACUCUGGGCUGGUACUGACGCUGAGGAGCGAAAGCGUGGGUAGCGAACAGG
This 254-nucleotide ribosomal RNA is filed under the name uncultured bacterium. RNAcentral's name for it is "partial 16S ribosomal RNA". It matches the Rfam family "Bacterial small subunit ribosomal RNA", at positions 524 to 776 of the family's 1533-position model. The record is from RNAcentral.